AGAUUUUUUCCGAUUCCUAUAAUUAAGAUUUAAAAUUGAUCCAAUAGUCACUGGUUAAUAUUUAGUUGUAACAAAGUUUGAUUAAUUAGGAAUCAACAGGGUUUAUAACAUUUAACAGCUCCAUUUUCCCCUCAAAAUAUGAGCUCCAUUUUCCCCUCAAAAUAUGUGUAUAUACAAAAAAACAAAAAAAAAUCUGACUAAAACGAAUCCACCCAAAACGACGGUGAUAAUAGGUUUUUUGGAAGGGGAAGCAGAACCUGCUCCGUAGGUAACAUACGUCGUAUUACUCAUAUAAAAUACUUUGAUAAGCUAUAUCAAGUCAUUAUCCGUCUUUCAAUCAUAAUAUAGUAAUUGACUCUUAACUUAGUCUAAAACAUCACCAAAUUCGUAAACCAUCGGUCAUUGAAUUUGUCUAACCCUAAAAUUUGACCAAUUAUAAAAUUGUGAAAUUAUGAAAUUGAAACCCGUUUGUCACGACAAAGGAUAUAAAAGGACUACGGUAUUACCGGAAUAAAAAACUGACUGACAUCGAAAAAUCAAAAAGAACAAAGAACAACACUCAAAACUAAAGCAAGAUUUAAAAAAACAAUAAUGCAAUUAUUAGAGAUAUUUUAAUUUAUUUUUUUUGCUAAUAUCCUAAGUUUAAAGUGUACUUACUACGCCUACAAAAAUAUAAUGCUUAUUAUUCCUGACAAAAAUAGCC
This 703-nucleotide long non-coding RNA is filed under the name Mytilus galloprovincialis (Mediterranean mussel). The record is from RNAcentral. Lineage: Eukaryota; Metazoa; Mollusca; Bivalvia; Mytilida; Mytilidae.